AGCAUUCUAUCUGCACUUAAGAAUAGAAAAGCAGCAUUCUGAACAGCAAUGCUCAUCACAUAAACAUGAAGUUUCCUCCAAAAGGAAUGAUGACUAAUGCUUUGAGGAAACAGCAGACGUCAGACAGCAAGCCCAGAAAAACCUGCCAGCACCAAGAGGGUGUCCUCAACAGGCGCCUGGGGGACAUAUUAUUCUAACUAAAGAGACCAGAGCUUCCCCAGGAAGGGAAGAGGAGAGAAAUGAAGAACGUCUGUGUUCAUGUUUGCCAAAAACAAAAGUCUGAGAAAUCUCUGAGAGACUCUACAUGGGAGGGCACUAAUCGAAGCACCUCAUUUAAAGUGAGAAAAGCUUUGCUAAGGGCAGAUGAUUCAGCACGGUAUCCUUCGAUGAGUACUGUCAUCUCAAAUCCUUUUUAAGAAGAAAAGUGCAACCCACUGGAGAAAGAGAGGGACUCCGAGGAAGGAGAGAGAGAAGAGCAUCAAGCACAAAUGAUGAUCUCCUAGGACAGUGGCAGCUUCUGAGAAUGCACAGGAAAGUGACCAGGGAAAGAAUGAUUCCAUCUCCAGGAAUCCCUGGUGAUCUUCAGAGCCCAGACAGGACCCUGCUGGGCCAUGGUAACUGAGAAACUGAGAAGCAGAUACAGUGGUCCCUAUGUUGGCAACCUCAGCUGAAGAGGAACAACUCUCUCUAUAAUCAAGACUUAAUCUUGGCCUGGUGUGCCUCAUUUUUAUAGGACUUCUGAAACCAGAAAUCACCAGCGUGGGGAGAGAACAUUAAAGGCAGAGGUGUCUCUUAUAAGCACAACGUGUGACCAGGUAAUACUGUCUGGAUUAGCAGCUGUACAGCCUAACUAAGCCCUGGAGCUACAAUUAUCUGGUCGCAUUAAACUGAAAUCACCUGAAAAACUUCACACUGAACAAGCCUUUGGAAAUGUCUAAUCUGCCAGUUUACACCCAGAAGUGAAAGUGGAAUUCACUUGUUAAAGACAAGAAAACAAAAGUUUUCUGCCAGGAAGAGUCUCAUCUUAGAACCAGUAUAGGGUCUGAAGACAUUUCUGCAAUUUAUGUUUAUGCCAUUCUUUCACUUUUAUUUAAAAAGGAGAUUUAACCUGACCAUUCUCUUUGAAGCCGAUGUCCCAAGUAUAUAUGUUUGAUGAGGGUACAGAAGACAUAAGGAAUAAAACUGCAUUGCCACAGAGGGAAUACACGGCUCCAGAUACAAGGCUUUAUGCUAAUUUUAGCAAAAUGUAUGUAUCUUUUUACAUACAUAAAGUUAUGGCACUAUAUAAAGAGAUCCUUAAAUGUGA
Molecule: long non-coding RNA, 1306 nt
Filed under: Homo sapiens (human)
Lineage: Eukaryota; Metazoa; Chordata; Mammalia; Primates; Hominidae
Description: HSALNT0367189
Source: RNAcentral